UAGAUCGUUCAUAUUACAUGGAUAACUGUGGUAAUUCUAGAGCUAAUACAUGCAAAAAGCUCCGACCGUAUGGGAAGAGCGCUUUUAUUAGACCAAAACCAAUGGGGCCGCAAGGUCCCUUUGUAUGGUGACUCUGGAUAACUUUGUGCUGAUCGCAUGGCCUCGAGCCGGCGACGUAUCUUUCAAAUGUCUGCCCUAUCAACUUUCGAUGGUAAGCGAUUUGCCUACCAUGGUUGUAACGGGUAACGGGGAAUCAGGGUUCGAUUCCGGAGAGGGAGCAUGAGAAACGGCUACCACAUCUACGGAAGGCAGCAGGCGCGCAAAUUACCCACUCCUAGAACGGGGAGGUAGUGACGAAAAAUAACAAUACCGGACUCUAUGAGGCUCGGUAAUUGAAAUGAGUACAGUUUAAAACCCUUAACGAGGAUCUAUUGGAGGGCAAGUCUGGUGCCAGCAGCCGCGGUAAUUCCAGCUCCAAUAGCGUAUAUUAAAGUUGUUGCAGUUAAAAAGCUCGUAGUUGGAUCUCGGGUACUGGCAUGUGGUACGCUUUACUGCUGUCACUACAUGUCCGGUCCUAAUUCAUCGGUUGGCCGUUGAUGUCC
RNAcentral lists this ribosomal RNA (602 nucleotides) under uncultured eukaryote. RNAcentral describes it as "SSU rRNA". It matches the Rfam family "Eukaryotic small subunit ribosomal RNA", at positions 121 to 718 of the family's 1831-position model. The record is from RNAcentral.